Molecule: ribosomal RNA, 1487 nt
Filed under: metagenome
Description: bacterial SSU rRNA
Rfam family: Bacterial small subunit ribosomal RNA
Source: RNAcentral
AGAGUUUGAUCCUGGCUCAGGAUGAACGCUGGCGGCAGGCUUAAUACAUGCAAGUCGAGGGGUAACGACACCUUCGGGUGGGCGACGACCGGCGCACGGGUGCGUAACGCGUAUGCAACCUGCCUCUGACUGGAGCAUAGCCCCGAGAAAUCGGGAUUAAUACUCCAUAACAUUCAUUUAUCGCAUGAUAGAUGAAUCAAAGCUCCGGCGGUCAGAGAUGGGCAUGCGUAACAUUAGCUAGUUGGUAAGGUAAUGGCUUACCAAGGCUACGAUGUUUAGGGGGCCUGAGAGGGUGACCCCCCACACUGGUACUGAGACACGGACCAGACUCCUACGGGAGGCAGCAGUAAGGAAUAUUGGGCAAUGGACGCAAGUCUGACCCAGCCAUGCCGCGUGCAGGAUGACGGCCCUACGGGUUGUAAACUGCUUUUAUACAGGAAAAAACCUCCGGACGUGUCCGGAGUUGGUUGUACUGUUUGAAUAAGCAUCGGCUAACUCCGUGCCAGCAGCCGCGGUAAUACGGAGGAUGCAAGCGUUAUCCGGAUUUAUUGGGUUUAAAGGGUGCGCAGGCGGAUUGAUCAGUCAGUGGUGAAAUCCUACAGCUUAACUGUAGAACUGCCAUUGAUACUGUCAAUCUCGAGUAUAGUUGAAGUGGGCGGAAUGUAUCAUGUAGCGGUGAAAUGCAUAGAUAUGAUACAGAACACCGAUAGCGAAGGCAGCUCACUAAACUAUUACUGACGCUCAGGCACGAAAGCGUGGGGAGCAAACAGGAUUAGAUACCCUGGUAGUCCACGCCGUAAACUAUGGACACUCGUUGUUGGCGAUACACGGUCAGUAACUAAGUUAAAAUAUUAAGUGUCCCACCUGGGGAGUACGAUCGCAAGGUUGAAACUCAAAGGAAUUGACGGGGGCCCGCACAAGCGGUGGAGCAUGUGGUUUAAUUCGAUGAUACGCGAGGAACCUUACCUGGGCUUAAAUGUAGAGCGACGUUUCGGGAAACCGAAAUUUCUUCGGACGAUCUACAAGGUGCUGCAUGGUUGUCGUCAGCUCGUGCCGUGAGGUGUCGGGUUAAGUCCCAUAACGAGCGCAACCCCUAUUCUUAGUUGCCAUCAGGUAAUGCUGGGGACUCUAAGAAAACUGCCUACGCAAGUAGUGAGGAAGGUGGGGAUGACGUCAAAUCAGCACGGCCCUUAUGUCCAGGGCUACACACGUGCUACAAUGGCCGGUACAGAGGGUCGCUACCUGGUGACAGGAUGCUAAUCUCGAAAGCCGGUCUCAGUUCGGAUCGAAGUCUGCAACUCGACUUCGUGAAGUUGGAAUCGCUAGUAAUCGCAUAUCAGCAAUGGUGCGGUGAAUACGUUCCCGGGCCUUGUACACACCGCCCGUCACACCAUGGGAGUUGGUUGCACCAGAAGUAGAUAGCUUAACCUUCGGGAGGGCGUUUACCACGGUGUGAUCAAUGACUGGGGCGAAGUCGAAACAAGGUA